GCCUUCAUGGCGCAGUGGUAACGCGUCGCACUUGUAUGAUUCCUACUGCAUGGGAAGAAUAGAGAUGCGAAGAUCCCUAGUUCAAUUCUGGGUGAAGGCA
Glarea lozoyensis 74030 is the source of this 100-nucleotide transfer RNA. It matches the Rfam family "tRNA". From Rfam's summary of the family: Transfer RNA (tRNA) molecules are approximately 80 nucleotides in length. Their secondary structure includes four short double-helical elements and three loops (D, anti-codon, and T loops). NCBI's taxonomy places the organism in Eukaryota, Fungi, Ascomycota, Leotiomycetes, Helotiales, Helotiaceae. The record is from Rfam.